Molecule: long non-coding RNA, 1572 nt
Organism: Hordeum vulgare subsp. vulgare (domesticated barley)
Lineage: Eukaryota; Viridiplantae; Streptophyta; Magnoliopsida; Poales; Poaceae
Exons: 3
Source: RefSeq, a predicted model, not a curated record
UAUGUAUUUGUCUCCUGCCAAAGACUGAUCUUGUUCGAACGAGUUUGGAUAGGUUCUAUACACAUGGUUGGUGUGAAGAAAAUAGCAAUACUGGUAUAUUGUUGAGUUUAUGAAGCUAAUGUGUUAUUAAUUGUAUUUUUACCGUGUGUGGGGGAAACAAAAUAAUCAAGGUGAAAAGAUGAGACAGUCGGGAGGCCCAUCGAGCGUUGGAGGCACCGGGGAAAAUCCGACCCGGUCAGGAAAUAUGUCCAACCACCUCCUUACCCAUGCUUCGGGUACUGCGGGAGCAUGGACAACAGGUCGAGUCCCUCCGACUGUAUCCUCCGCCCAUCUUGGUCCUUUUGGAGGUGGCCCCUCGCGAGUUGGUCUUCCGGCCACGGGUGUCUCCCCGGUCCAGAGCUCUCAGCUUGAUGCUCCUCUCGCCGGUCAUGUCAUGCAGGUGCAGAGCAACAACGAUUCACCGCAACCACACUUUGUGGCCCUGACCGACGGCAUCAACUCUGGAGCGUCGGCGCAGAUUCCUCCCAACUACUACCUCGACUUCAUUUUGGUGGAUCGUCCUUCUGUGCCAUGCCAACCUACGUGCACUUGCACAAGCCGCACAUUUUCACAGUUUCCGGCGCAACCGCAACAGGAGGUGCCCAUACAGUUUCUAUGGAGCAUGGUAUCCUCGGCGGCCCGGUCUCAAUAGCUUCCAAUCCUGUCACCACUUCGUCGGUGAUAGGAGCGACAGGAUCAGGCCGAGCACAGAGUGCCGGCCUGCUCAACGGCGUUCGCUCCGCCCGCCGUGGCGCACUUACACAAGAAGCAGGCAACAUAGUUGUGCAAACCCCGAUUGGUCCCAACAAUGAGCUCGCAUUUCUCAUGGGCACUGGACCCGUGUCACACAGAGAGCCGAUUCGGGAGCUUGCAUUCCUCGCAGACACGAGAUCUUCGCAGCCCAUAGAGUUGACGAGCUUGGAAGUUGGCCGCUCGCACACAGAUCCGCUUCCUGUAGGCACUACACAUGUGCAGCGAACGGAGCCGGCGGGCUUUGGCGGUGGUCGCCUCCACGGGCAUGCGCUCCUUGUGGGCACCGGGCCCGUGCAACGCACGGUGUCGGGCUUCAACGUACGUCGGUCUCCUUGUUGGAGGCCCUAGAUCCGUGUCGCAGAGACAGCCUACGGGCCUCCUUGCUAGCACGACACGGUGCAGCGACCGCGGCGGCAACAAACGAUCCCAUGGUGCGGCGCGUGACUAGGAUGGGUAGAAUCAGAGAAACCACGAUCAGAGCCCGUGCGGACAUCCUCGCAGCUGCUCGUGGUCGUGGGAAGCAAGGCGGUGCAAACCAGGAGCAGUCUGACUGGACCAAUCACCGAAGGAUAUGAACCUUUGCCGGUCGACGCCUAUCUUCCAUCGGCGUGAAGAAUAAAUCUUAGUUGUGUUUUUACUCUAUUGAAGUUUUAUUUUAAAUAAAUGGUCACUAGACCAAUAUCAUGUUUACUAGUACAAUUUAUUACCAUAUCUAUAUGUAAGAUGUUCCUAAUUUAUUUAUUUGAUGUUCCUUGGUGAGAUGCAAUUAUAUAUACCUCU